RNAcentral lists this ribosomal RNA (468 nucleotides) under uncultured bacterium. RNAcentral's name for it is "partial 16S ribosomal RNA". It matches the Rfam family "Bacterial small subunit ribosomal RNA", at positions 28 to 507 of the family's 1533-position model. The record is from RNAcentral.
GGCGAACGCUGGCGGCGUGCUUAACACAUGCAAGUCGAACGGAAAGUCCCUGCUUUUUUGGGGUGCUCGAGUGGCGAACGUGUGUGUAACACGUGUGUAACCUGCCCUUUACUUUGUGAUAACUUCAGGAAACUCGGGCUAUUACCGGAUAUGAGCUCCUGCUGCCUGGUGGGGGUUGGAAAUUUUCGGCUGUUGGGGAUGGACUCGGCGGUUUUCAGCUUUUUGGUGGGGUAGUGGCUUACCAAGUUUUUGACGGGUAGUCGGCAUGAGAGGGUGACCGACAACAUUAAGAAUGAGGUAAGGACCAGAGUCCUACGGGAGGCAGCAGUGGAGAAUAUUGCAGAAUGGGCGAAGGUUUGAUGCAGCAAGGCCGCUAGCGGAAUGACGGGAUUCGGGUUGUAAAAAGAGGUUGCUUGUGACGAAGCGUGAGUGACGGUAAUGAGUAAAGAAGCACCGGCUAACUACGUG